UUGGGAUGACAGUUCCUGGGAUAGAUCGUGAAUACUCAAUAUGACGAACAGGAUUCCAACUCAGAAUACAAGAGAUCAAGUCUAGUGGUGUUUAACUAUCUGAUGCUGCGUAGGCGAUUAAGAUGGACGAGGGGGAGGAGAGAUGAUUCCCUGGCAAUAUUCUCACGAAACUGGCUUCGUGUAAUAACCUCUAUCCCUUCAUUUUCUCAGACCGUCAUUUGGUACACGCAGAACGUAGCUGACCUCUAUUGGGGUCUACAGCUAUCUGCCCCGGGUCGUGGCGUGACCUGUUGUAUUGCUUCUAAAUUAACUGACUGACCACAAGUACAACCCAUGUUCUCUGUAUCCGCUAACAAGAGCAGAACUUUCUUAUCAUCAAUAUUAAUCACGAGACAGACUUCAAACCCUUUAAUGCUGAAUUGUAAAUUUAAGUACCAGCUGCUUUAAAAACAAGUAAGUCUCCUUCUUGGAGUAAACAGCAAUUACUGCCUCCAGCAACAUCAACCAAUCGAUCUUUUAAUGGAAAGGCGUUGUUUGUGUUUUCUUUGAGAGUCCUGCGGCUGACAGACAGAACGUGCCAGGGGAGGAAGGGGGAAGCACGGGCCGUCCCAUUUUGAUGCAUUACAACAUGCGCUGGAAAUACCGACUCACAGUCCCAUCCAAUCCCAACUUUUUUUUCCCAUUAUUAUUAUCGCGCUACCUGUUUGGGAUUGCGCUACCCCUCUCUCUCUCCCUGCUUGCGAGCGCUGGCAGCGAACUCUGCUCGGUACGGAUUGGACUGCGAGCUGUCCCGGACAAUACAGUAGGAGCGAGUGUACUGCGGCAGGCAGCAACGGCGACACCGAGAGUCGCAACGCCAGGAUCUAUCGUCAACUGCAGCGGGACCCGGGACUUUUUCGCUCACUCAGAUCACUCAGCCUGCGAUGUGUGUUAACAAGUUCCGCAGAGGACGGACGUUUACUUGUAUGGAAUUCGUAGAAUCGUUUCCACGAAAAUGUGUUGAUGGCCCCACUGAAUGAGCAGGUGAGGAAUUGCAGAAGGAAAAAGAAACAAGAAAGGGGGUCUGUGUUCCUGAGUUGGCCCGGAGCGUCUGCGAGCAUUUAGAUCCGUACGCACCAACAGUUUGCGCCUCCUUCCUAACUUGAGAAAUUCAGUGGCCGAGAUCAGAGAAUUGAAAGUACCGGAGACCAAGCUGAGUCUGGCCGGUAAAUUGAGAACGUCUUUCUCGGACAAUGUUAAAGACGAAAACCAAGGAAAGCAGUACGCAUUUAAACUCUUUGAAGUACACUGCCAGGAGUUCUCAAGGCCUUGCGGUAAACCGUCUUCUGACGAUUAGUUAACACUACGAUGGGACACUACAAAGGAUGAAGACAGCUGAAGCAUAUUAAUGAUAGAGGGUGUUCAGUCGCCGUGGUGUUAUUAUCAAAGAUGGAGGCAAUAUGCUCCUCCGAAACAUUGGUGUAUAUCUACAAGUACUCAUGACAUUGUUACAACCCAGAAAACCGAAUUCGUCAUCAGCGCUGUAAGAAAAUCAAGUCGGAAAAACGUAAAUCACUGUUCAUCAACUGUCAGUCACAGGAUGUGCAAAAUAUAGUGGUUUGUGGGUGGUGGAAACACUAAAGGCAGCCAGCACGUUGCGUUAAUGCAACGAGAAGACAAAACCCAGCAUCAGGUCGGGGCGCCUACACACCCCUUCUCCGACCCCGCAACCAUCUCCUCUCUGCCCACUAACUGGAGCUCCGAUUAGACAAACUGUCCCAGCGGCUCCAGUAACAGAGACUGCAAGAGGAAUAAGGAGGGAGAUGGUAAUUAUUCAACUUGCUCAGAUAGCCAUCUCAGAACUACGGGUCUCCUCUCCCAGUUGCAUGGAGUAACGGAAUUAUUGGUCCCACUUACUCUUGCCUUAUCACAGAUGAAGAUAAAACCUGGACACAAGUGUUAUUGCACCUAUAGGGAGGCACAAAUAAAGUGGGACUUAAAACGUAGGCUUCACUUCACAUUAAUGUAAUACUGCCACGCACCAUUGUAUUGCUUUGUGUUUUGCUGGAUCCAACUUCUUUAUACGAAAACUGCUUUGGUGAGGUGCAGUAGAAUUGUAUUCGACGAUCAAUGAAAUACAUGAUUAAAUUGUCUUUGAAGCAUGAACGACAAGUAUUAGUUGGUUACAGAAUUUUGUGUUUAAGUUUGUUAGAAUUUAAGACAGGAGAUACGCUGGAAAGAUGAACAGAUUUAAGGUUGAAAGGCAGACUGGAAUUAAAAUAUUAAAAUAAAAAUUGUUGAGAAGA
Molecule: non-coding RNA, 2285 nt
Organism: Zootermopsis nevadensis
Lineage: Eukaryota; Metazoa; Arthropoda; Insecta; Blattodea; Termopsidae
Source: RefSeq, a predicted model, not a curated record